Molecule: ribosomal RNA, 3089 nt
Filed under: Salmonella enterica
Lineage: Bacteria; Pseudomonadati; Pseudomonadota; Gammaproteobacteria; Enterobacterales; Enterobacteriaceae
Also listed under: 1 other name
Description: 23S ribosomal RNA
Rfam family: Bacterial large subunit ribosomal RNA
Source: RNAcentral
GGUUAAGCGACUAAGCGUACACGGUGGAUGCCCUGGCAGUCAGAGGCGAUGAAGGGCGUGCUAAUCUGCGAUAAGCGCCGGUAAGGUGAUAUGAACCGUUAUAACCGGCGAUACCCGAAUGGGGAAACCCAGUGUGAUUCGUCACACUAUCAUUAACUGAAUCCAUAGGUUAAUGAGGCGAACCGGGGGAACUGAAACAUCUAAGUACCCCGAGGAAAAGAAAUCAACCGAGAUUCCCCCAGUAGCGGCGAGCGAACGGGGAGGAGCCCAGAGCCUGAAUCAGCAUGUGUGUUAGUGGAAGCGUCUGGAAAGGCGCGCGAUACAGGGUGACAGCCCCGUACACAAAAGCGCAUGUGCUGUGAGCUCGAUGAGUAGGGCGGGACACGUGGUAUCCUGUCUGAAUAUGGGGGGACCAUCCUCCAAGGCUAAAUACUCCUGACUGACCGAUAGUGAACCAGUACCGUGAGGGAAAGGCGAAAAGAACCCCGGCGAGGGGAGUGAAAAAGAACCUGAAACCGUGUACGUACAAGCAGUGGGAGCCCCACCACCAAAGCAUUCUAUGGUGUUGAAGGCCCUGCAAAGCAGCAUCGCGGUGGCGGAGCGUCGUUUGCGACGCCCAACACACAAAACAAGCGGUGAGUGCUUUGGGGUGGGGUGACUGCGUACCUUUUGUAUAAUGGGUCAGCGACUUAUAUUCUGUAGCAAGGUUAACCGAAUAGGGGAGCCGGAGGGAAACCGAGUCUUAAUUGGGCGUUAAGUUGCAGGGUAUAGACCCGAAACCCGGUGAUCUAGCCAUGGGCAGGUUGAAGGUUGGGUAACACUAACUGGAGGACCGAACCGACUAAUGUUGAAAAAUUAGCGGAUGACCUGUGGCUGGGGGUGAAAGGCCAAUCAAACCGGGAGAUAGCUGGUUCUCCCCGAAAGCUAUUUAGGUAGCGCCUCGUGAAUUCAUCUCCGGGGGUAGAGCACUGUUUCGGCUAGGGGGCCAUCCCGGCUUACCAACCCGAUGCAAACUGCGAAUACCGGAGAAUGUUAUCACGGGAGACACACGGCGGGUGCUAACGUCCGUCGUGAAGAGGGAAACAACCCAGACCGCCAGCUAAGGUCCCAAAGUCAUGGUUAAGUGGGAAACGAUGUGGGAAGGCCCAGACAGCCAGGAUGUUGGCUUAGAAGCAGCCAUCAUUUAAAGAAAGCGUAAUAGCUCACUGGUCGAGUCGGCCUGCGCGGAAGAUGUAACGGGGCUAAACCAUGCACCGAAGCUGCGGCAGCGAACGUAUCACUUAAAGCGAUUCAGCGGGUUACGAUUGACGGAGCGAAGCGACGUCAAAGCGUAUACAAAGUCGAGUCGGUUUAAGGAUACGUUCGUUGGGUAGGGGAGCGUUCUGUAAGCCUGUGAAGGUGUGUCGUGAGGCAUGCUGGAGGUAUCAGAAGUGCGAAUGCUGACAUAAGUAACGAUAAAGCGGGUGAAAAGCCCGCUCGCCGGAAGACCAAGGGUUCCUGUCCAACGUUAAUCGGGGCAGGGUGAGUCGACCCCUAAGGCGAGGCCGAAAGGCGUAGUCGAUGGGAAACGGGUUAAUAUUCCCGUACUUGGUGUUACUGCGAAGGGGGGACGGAGAAGGCUAUGUUGGCCGGGCGACGGUUGUCCCGGUUUAAGCGUGUAGGUGUGUGUUCCAGGUAAAUCCGGUUCACUUUAACACUGAGGCGUGACGACGAGGCACUACGGUGCUGAAGCAACAAAUGCCCUGCUUCCAGGAAAAGCCUCUAAGCAUCAGGUAACACGAAAUCGUACCCCAAACCGACACAGGUGGUCAGGUAGAGAAUACCAAGGCGCUUGAGAGAACUCGGGUGAAGGAACUAGGCAAAAUGGUGCCGUAACUUCGGGAGAAGGCACGCUGACACGUAGGUGAAGUGAUUUACUCAUGGAGCUGAAGUCAGUCGAAGAUACCAGCUGGCUGCAACUGUUUAUUAAAAACACAGCACUGUGCAAACACGAAAGUGGACGUAUACGGUGUGACGCCUGCCCGGUGCCGGAAGGUUAAUUGAUGGGGUCAGCGCAAGCGAAGCUCCUGAUCGAAGCCCCGGUAAACGGCGGCCGUAACUAUAACGGUCCUAAGGUAGCGAAAUUCCUUGUCGGGUAAGUUCCGACCUGCACGAAUGGCGUAAUGAUGGCCAGGCUGUCUCCACCCGAGACUCAGUGAAAUUGAACUCGCUGUGAAGAUGCAGUGUACCCGCGGCAAGACGGAAAGACCCCGUGAACCUUUACUAUAGCUUGACACUGAACAUUGAGCCUUGAUGUGUAGGAUAGGUGGGAGGCUUUGAAGCGUGGACGCCAGUCUGCGUGGAGCCGACCUUGAAAUACCACCCUUUAAUGUUUGAUGUUCUAACGUGGACCCGUAAUCCGGGUUGCGGACAGUGUCUGGUGGGUAGUUUGACUGGGGCGGUCUCCUCCUAAAGAGUAACGGAGGAGCACGAAGGUUGGCUAAUCCUGGUCGGACAUCAGGAGGUUAGUGCAAUGGCAUAAGCCAGCUUGACUGCGAGCGUGACGGCGCGAGCAGGUGCGAAAGCAGGUCAUAGUGAUCCGGUGGUUCUGAAUGGAAGGGCCAUCGCUCAACGGAUAAAAGGUACUCCGGGGAUAACAGGCUGAUACCGCCCAAGAGUUCAUAUCGACGGCGGUGUUUGGCACCUCGAUGUCGGCUCAUCACAUCCUGGGGCUGAAGUAGGUCCCAAGGGUAUGGCUGUUCGCCAUUUAAAGUGGUACGCGAGCUGGGUUUAGAACGUCGUGAGACAGUUCGGUCCCUAUCUGCCGUGGGCGCUGGAGAACUGAGGGGGGCUGCUCCUAGUACGAGAGGACCGGAGUGGACGCAUCACUGGUGUUCGGGUUGUCAUGCCAAUGGCACUGCCCGGUAGCUAAAUGCGGAAGAGAUAAGUGCUGAAAGCAUCUAAGCACGAAACUUGCCCCGAGAUGAGUUCUCCCUGAGACUUAGAGUCUCCUGAAGGAACGUUGAAGACGACGACGUUGAUAGGCCGGGUGUGUAAGCGCAGCGAUGCGUUGAGCUAACCGGUACUAAUGAACCGUGAGGCUUAACCUU